This 410-nucleotide ribosomal RNA is filed under the name uncultured bacterium. RNAcentral's name for it is "bacterial SSU rRNA". It matches the Rfam family "Bacterial small subunit ribosomal RNA", at positions 356 to 772 of the family's 1533-position model. The record is from RNAcentral.
GGGGAAUAUUGCGCAAUGGGCGAAAGCCUGACGCAGCGACGCCGCGUGAGGGAUGACGGCCUUCGGGUUGUAAACCUCUUUCGGCAGGGACGAAGCCUCUUCGGGGGUGACGGUACCUGCAGAAGAAGCGCCGGCCAACUACGUGCCAGCAGCCGCGGUAAGACGUAGGGCGCGAGCGUUGUCCGGAUUUAUUGGGCGUAAAGAGCUCGUAGGCGGCUUGUCGCGUCGACUGUGAAAACCCGGGGCUUAACUUCGGGCUUGCAGUCGAUACGGGCAGGCUGGAGUUCGGUAGGGGAGACUGGAAUUCCUGGUGUAGCGGUGAAAUGCGCAGAUAUCAGGAGGAACACCGGUGGCGAAGGCGGGUCUCUGGGCCGAUACUGACGCUGAGGAGCGAAAGCGUGGGGAGCAAA